This 264-nucleotide long non-coding RNA is filed under the name Vicia faba (fava bean). The record is from RNAcentral. Lineage: Eukaryota; Viridiplantae; Streptophyta; Magnoliopsida; Fabales; Fabaceae.
AUGGAAUUGUUAACAGGAAGGAAACCUUACGAUGGUGCCAGGCCAAGGGAAGAGCAAUAUAUGGAAAAAUGGGCUUCCUCCAGCCUUCAAAACAACUUCGUCCCCAAAAUGUAUGAAAUUAUAGACUCUCUUGUAUCUUCAUACCAAAAGUUCAACUUUGCAAAGACCAGUGUAGCAGACAAUACUGUUCUAUUUGAGAAGUCUCUCCAAUCAGAAGACAUACGCUUUAAAAGUUUGCCAACAUUUAGUCAUCUAUCAACUUGA